This 459-nucleotide long non-coding RNA is filed under the name Nicotiana benthamiana. RNAcentral describes it as "long non-coding RNA (NBEN_LNC042096)". Lineage: Eukaryota; Viridiplantae; Streptophyta; Magnoliopsida; Solanales; Solanaceae. The record is from RNAcentral.
CCAAAUAAAAGAAAUUAUUCAUAAGUUCACCAAAUAAUUACUGUAACAUUUAUCAACAUAAGUUUGCAUGCUUUGUGUAACAAGGCAAUGGACUCACAGUGUUAGAGGAUUUAUCACAGAGAGAGCAGGUAAUAUUAAUCUAUUUAAUAGUAAUCAGAGCUAUUUUUUCAGUGACCGAAGCCGGAGCUUCGCCAUUUUUACUUUCACUCUCGUCUAUUUCUUUCUUUGCAGGUUGUGGCUGGUUGUUCCCAAAGUGAGAGGGAUCACGACUGAAGCUUGGCAAGGGAGCUAAGAUGGCUGAGACGUGGAUUUUUGUAGGGGUGCUGCUAACUCUCAAUUGCUAUAUCAAUAGAGUUUUUCAGAUGAGUUUGAUUGAUUCUUGAGGAGAAGAAGAUGAGUAGCGGCUGCUUCUCUUAGGGGUUAGGUCUUCUGCUGCCCCUCUCAGCUUAACGGUUUAGG